UGAUAAUCUGUGCACACGGCAUAAGAAAUGAGACCGGACCGGAGGACUGAAGAGCUAUAGCGACACAACAAGAGAACAGAAGAAGGUCCUGCGAUGUCAGCUUUAAUCAGGUGGUCCCUAAGGUUCCGUGACCUACGAUGGAGAUGGAGGAUUAACCUGGAUAGCCAGUGAGCCGUGUACCAGGAGCUGGAUUUUUUUCGCAUAUGAGAAAAGAACUCAAAAGGACCUAAACUCAUCUUUGAAAAAGAUAAUCACCCAUAACAGUGGUCAUGGGAUUCCAGUCCAAUAAUCUGCUAAAAGUAAACUGUGCAACUGAUUCCUAAAAUACCCCAAAA
Long non-coding RNA from Hyla sarda, 335 nucleotides. RefSeq lists it as uncharacterized. NCBI's taxonomy places the organism in Eukaryota, Metazoa, Chordata, Amphibia, Anura, Hylidae. The transcript is spliced from 5 exons. The record is from RefSeq and is a predicted model, not a curated record.